AAUCAACGCUGGCGGCGUGCCUAACACAUGCAAGUCGAACGCGAAAGGGGCUUCGGCCCUGAGUAGAGUGGCAAACGGGUGAGUAACACGUGGGUGACCUACCUUCGAGUGGGGGAUAACGUUCCGAAAGGAACGCUAAUACCGCAUAUUGUCCUGCCUUUGGAGAGGCGGUGAUGAAAGCCGGGGAUCGCAAGACCUGGCGCUGGGAGAGGGGCCCGCGUCCGAUUAGCUAGUAGGUGGGGUAACGGCUCACCUAGGCGACGAUCCCUAGCUGGUCUGAGAGGAUGACCAGCCACACUGGAACUGAGACACGGUCCAGACUCCUACGGGAGGCAGCAGUGGGGAAUAUUGCACAAUGGGCGCAAGCCUGAUGCAGCCAUGCCGCGUGUAUGAAGAAGGCCUUCGGGUUGUAAAGUACUUUCAGCGGGGAGGAAGGGAGUAAAGUUAAUACCUUUGCUCAUUGACGUUACCCGCAGAAGAAGCACCGGCUAACUCCGUGCCAGCAGCCGCGGUAAUACGGAGGGUGCAAGCGUUAAUCGGAAUUACUGGGCGUAAAGCGCACGCAGGCGGUUUGUUAAGUCAGAUGUGAAAUCCCCGGGCUCAACCUGGGAACUGCAUCUGAUACUGGCAAGCUUGAGUCUCGUAGAGGGGGGUAGAAUUCCAGGU
RNAcentral lists this ribosomal RNA (666 nucleotides) under uncultured Enterobacteriaceae bacterium. Its description in RNAcentral is "bacterial SSU rRNA". It matches the Rfam family "Bacterial small subunit ribosomal RNA", at positions 28 to 674 of the family's 1533-position model. The record is from RNAcentral. Lineage: Bacteria; Pseudomonadati; Pseudomonadota; Gammaproteobacteria; Enterobacterales; Enterobacteriaceae.